This is a long non-coding RNA of Ostrinia nubilalis (European corn borer), 928 nucleotides long. RefSeq lists it as uncharacterized. The record is from RefSeq and is a predicted model, not a curated record. NCBI's taxonomy places the organism in Eukaryota, Metazoa, Arthropoda, Insecta, Lepidoptera, Crambidae. The transcript has 2 exons.
UUCUCUACAAAUUUUGUUUAAAAACUUUUUUUAUACGGUGAACCGUUUUCGAGAUAGAGGGCGGAGAGCGCGCGGUCACUGCAUCACUUCAGCAGGGCUAAGAUGCGCGCCGUGAUAAACUGCUAUCGCGGCGUUAUAUCGAUUUUGACGUCACUAUAUCGUUUUAUCUACCGGCGCUAACAUGGCACCCCGAAAAUUAUCAUGUCAUCUGUCAAAAUGUGAUAGUGAUAGAUUUGUUUUUUUUUUUGUGAUAAACCUGGCAAGCCCUAACAUGAAGCGCUAACUAUAUCAUAUUUUGACAUCACGAUAGGAUAGGAUGUGGUGUUUUUAUCGUCCUCGAUCCUUGCCCACGAUAGCAAGACGAUAGGAGAUUAACUUUUUUGCAAGCUACUUUAACUCUAUUUAUUUAUCAUUUAUAAUGGUAAAUGACAUUUUACGACUAAUUUGAGGCUAGUAAAAUUCAAAGAAAGGAAUCUAGCACCUUUGUGAUACUUUUACUUCUAGGUGGAGAUUGAGUUCUAGUUCAAGAGUUUAUCAGUGUGAGGCGAAUCUUGCGACAGUUUAUAAUCGCUAGCUGCAAAAUCUUAGUGCUCCCACAGUCCCACCCACAUAUUAAUUAUUACAUUACCUACCUUGUAAAAUAACCAUUACUUACCUACUUAGGUAGGCAGUCAACAGUACAUCAGACAAUACAUAUUAAGUUGCAAAUGUCGUGAGAUACCCCACAGUGUUUAGCUUGAUUUAAGUACCUACUGUCAUCUGUACAUAAUCUUGUAAAAUUAUUGAAAAUGGGGCGGAAUGUGGCCGAGCUUCUUGUGUCUACAUCAAACAGUGGCAAGGUCAUUGUCAGAAAUUAGCAUUGGGUGGGAUGUGUAAUCAAACUUGCUAUAAUAACAAUGAGAAUAAAUGAAUUUUACUAAUUUUAUAA